CGUAAAUUUGCUUAUACCUCUUUGAUAGUUAAAAUGUCAAAAUAAAAGUUUUCGAGUUUAAAUUUCUUGCUUUAAAAUUCGUUAAAUUUUUUCUGUAUACUCUCACCUCUUCUUCAACAGUCUAGUUUUAUCACUCCUAUUCUUUUUAAAUUAGUGAAACUAUAUAAAUUUUUUCUGAAAAAGUUUUCCUUUUGUUGGUGAAAUACGAAGAAAGAAAAGACACGUCAACUUCUUUUCAAUGGUGCUGCGAACCGUAAAAUUGCUGAGAAUGGAAAUGCUAAUGCACAAAAUGGAUUUCAUGAAAACAAUAGAUCAAAAGGACAAGGAAUAACUAAUGGUUUGAAUGGUCAUUGUUCGUCACAAAACAUGAUUGCCUGUGUUUUCUGUGAAAAAUGUACUGUUGCCAGUAACUGUAGAACUUGCAGUAUUUGUUUUUUGAGUUACUGUCACUUGUGUUCAAUUUUGCAGUAUGGCUCACAGGAAGAAACUGCUGUAUGUCUAUCAUGUCUUCAGUAAAGAUAAUCAUUCACACUUUUAAAUAUAUAUUUGUAAAUUAUGUAUAGAGAUUUUAUGCAAGCAAAAUUUUUUCUAGUUCAAUGUUAAUAAUUUAUUGUAAAUAAACUAAUUUUUAUAAA
Molecule: unclassified non-coding RNA, 635 nt
Organism: Parasteatoda tepidariorum (common house spider)
Lineage: Eukaryota; Metazoa; Arthropoda; Arachnida; Araneae; Theridiidae
Source: RefSeq, a predicted model, not a curated record